This is a long non-coding RNA of Olea europaea var. sylvestris, 238 nucleotides long. RefSeq lists it as uncharacterized. The transcript has 3 exons. The record is from RefSeq and is a predicted model, not a curated record. Lineage: Eukaryota; Viridiplantae; Streptophyta; Magnoliopsida; Lamiales; Oleaceae.
AUUCAGGUGUUGGCAAGUCAUGUCUUCUCCUGAGAUUUGCUGAUGAUUCAUACCUGGAAAGUUACAUCAGCACGAUUGGCGUUGACUUUAAAAUACGCACUGUGGAGCAAGAUGGAAAGACAAUUAAACUUCAGAUUGUAAUGUUCUCUUAUCUUGAUUGAAUUGAUCUUGUGGGCCAGUAGUACUUGAGUGUUUUGUCAUUUUUUGUUACCAUAGCUGGUAUCUCUGGCAAGGAGUU